GCAUAUCACAAUUUUAAUUGUGGUCGGCAACUUUUUGAUAGAUUGCUUCAACCCUUUCGGCCUAUAUAACGUAUCCGAACAUCUGUAGAAAGCUGAUAAGUCUGACAUGCGGAUAUAUUACACGUACCCAUUUCUGACAUCCGUACCCGUGUCCAGUAACAUAGCCUACCACUGCAAUUAUGAUGUAAAAUAUGACGAGUCAAUCAAGUUUGAUACCGGAAGACAGGCAACACAAGACUUCUGAGUAUAUUGAGGAUUACAUUCAAAGAAUUCCAGAUAAAUACAUAACAAAGAACGUGCAGAACACAUGAAAUAAUGGAAAGAAACCACAAACUAUUAUGGUUUUCAACAUCCAAGAGAUUUGGAUGCUGAAACUGUAUCCAGGCUUCUCAGUUUCUCAAUUUUGGAUUUAAAUUCACUUUGGAAGGAUGUAAAUGAUCUCUGCCGACUAGCAAAAGCAACACUGAAUUGUUUAAUCUGUUCUUCAAGAUCUUUUCUUCUCCGUGCUUCACUGUUCAAAUCUUUUAAAAUAUUUUCCUUUUGGUCAGUAACAAGUGCAAGCUUUUGAGAUGAUUCAAGCAGGGAAUCCCUUUCUUCUUUCAAAAGCUGAAGUUCUCUUUCCAAGCUAGUGUAUUUUUCUCUAGAAACCUCCAGAAGCUGGUUAUUGAGAUCCAGCUUUUUCUCCAAAUCAUUGUAUUUUUCCUUGAUAGUGUCAAGUUCAUAGCUUAGUUUCUCCUUUGAAGAAGCAGUUUCUCCUCCCUGAGUGGACCCCUUCAUCACAUUUAAAAGCUGCAUCUUAAAAGGAGGCAACCACCUAUAUGUGCUACUUUUUGAGACAAAAUGUACUUUUAUUCUUCAAGCACUAUACUUACUGUACUUUAAUAGUAAAGGCAAGCACAAAUUUUACUUCAAAGAAAAAUUAACCAUUUCCUCAAAAAGAUUGAAAAUCACAAUAAGGAGCUCAUCAGAACACAUUUUUUCAUACACAUGAUAAAAUGCACACAAUGCCUAGAAAAACCUAAGGAGAAGAGACUCAAACAAACAUACGUGUGUAACUGUGUAUAAGCUUCAUAUGUAGGUCUUUAUCUCACACGGUAAGCAAAUUUUCCCUUUGCGUAAAUCAUGAGAAUUUUCACAGAACUAUGAUCUGGAGUUGAUUUAUACUAUAAUAUAUAUGUGAUGAUAUGUUUUGAACUGUCGAAAAGAUUUCAAAUAUGGAUCAAUAAUAUAAUAACUAGGAAGAAACGAUAAUGUUCCUAGGACAUUGAGCACAAAAUUCCAAUUCCUAUUCUUUUUCUGGUUUGAAAUCUCAUAUCAAUUGAUAAUUAACUAGUGAAGCCACAUAAUCAUGUGGACAAAAGUAUAGUGAAACAGUUUAAAUCAUCAAAGUAGUGAAAAGGUUAAGGGCAUAUCCAAACAUCAGGAGGAAAAAUAUAAUCAUUAUUGAUAAAUGAUAUCUUGUUGAUUGUGAGAAGGCAGCUACCUUAUGGUCGCAGCCACAUAUUGUGUUCUUCACUUCUUUGUUCUGAAUGGCUAAUUUCUCUGAUG
Molecule: unclassified non-coding RNA, 1548 nt
Filed under: Hevea brasiliensis (rubber tree)
Lineage: Eukaryota; Viridiplantae; Streptophyta; Magnoliopsida; Malpighiales; Euphorbiaceae
Source: RNAcentral